This 269-nucleotide ribosomal RNA is filed under the name Escherichia coli. Its description in RNAcentral is "partial 23S ribosomal RNA". It matches the Rfam family "Bacterial large subunit ribosomal RNA", at positions 2661 to 2925 of the family's 2925-position model. Lineage: Bacteria; Pseudomonadati; Pseudomonadota; Gammaproteobacteria; Enterobacterales; Enterobacteriaceae. The record is from RNAcentral. RNAcentral also lists the same sequence under 1 other name.
ACUGAGGGGGGCUGCUCCUAGUACGAGAGGACCGGAGUGGACGCAUCACUGGUGUUCGGGUUGUCAUGCCAAUGGCACUGCCCGGUAGCUAAAUGCGGAAGAGAUAAGUGCUGAAAGCAUCUAAGCACGAAACUUGCCCCGAGAUGAGUUCUCCCUGACCCUUUAAGGUCCUGAAGGAACGUUGAAGACGACGACGUUGAUAGGCCGGGUGUGUAAGCGCAGCGAUGCGUUGAGCUAACCGGUACUAAUGAACCGUGAGGCUUAACCUU